RNAcentral lists this ribosomal RNA (1002 nucleotides) under Streptomyces sp. Its description in RNAcentral is "bacterial SSU rRNA". It matches the Rfam family "Bacterial small subunit ribosomal RNA", at positions 515 to 1497 of the family's 1533-position model. Lineage: Bacteria; Bacillati; Actinomycetota; Actinomycetes; Kitasatosporales; Streptomycetaceae. The record is from RNAcentral.
CCCCGGUUAAUUCGUGGGGCCACAAGCUUUUUCCGGAAUUUAUGGGGCAUAAAGAAUUUUGUAGGCGGCUUUUCCACUUCGGGUUGAAAAACCCGGGGGUUUAACCCCGGGGUUCCGCAUUCGAUACGGGCUAGCUUAGAGUGUGGUAGGGGAGAUCGGAAUUCCUGGGUGUAGCGGUGAAAUGCGCAGAUAUCAGGAGGAACACCGGUGGCGGAAGGCGGAUCUCUGGGCCAUUACUGACGCUGAGGAGCGAAAGCGUGGGGAGCGAACAGGAUUAGAUACCCUGGUAGUCCACGCCGUAAACGGUGGGAACUAGGUGUUGGCGACAUUCCACGUCGUCGGUGCCGCAGCUAACGCAUUAAGUUCCCCGCCUGGGGAGUACGGCCGCAAGGCUAAAACUCAAAGGAAUUGACGGGGGCCCGCACAAGCAGCGGAGCAUGUGGCUUAAUUCGACGCAACGCGAAGAACCUUACCAAGGCUUGACAUACACCGGAAACGGCCAGAGAUGGUCGCCCCCUUGUGGUCGGUGUACAGGUGGUGCAUGGCUGUCGUCAGCUCGUGUCGUGAGAUGUUGGGUUAAGUCCCGCAACGAGCGCAACCCUUGUUCUGUGUUGCCAGCAUGUCCUUCGGGAUGAUGGGGACUCACAGGAGACCGCCGGGGUCAACUCGGAGGAAGGUGGGGACGACGUCAAGUCAUCAUGCCCCUUAUGUCUUGGGCUGCACACGUGCUACAAUGGCCGGUACAAAGAGCAGCGAUACCGUGAGGUGGAGCGAAUCUCAAAAAGCCGGUCUCAGUUCGGAUUGGGGUCUGCAACUCGACCCCAUGAAGUCGGAGUUGCUAGUAAUCGCAGAUCAGCAUUGCUGCGGUGAAUACGUUCCCGGGCCUUGUACACACCGCCCGUCACGUCACGAAAGUCGGUAACACCCGAAGCCGGUGGCCCAACCCCUUGUGGGAGGGAGCUGUCGAAGGUGGGACUGGCGAUUGGGACGAGCGUAAAAGAU